Molecule: non-coding RNA, 30 nt
Filed under: Rattus norvegicus (Norway rat)
Lineage: Eukaryota; Metazoa; Chordata; Mammalia; Rodentia; Muridae
Source: RNAcentral
UGGAUGGUACUUCUGUUGGAAGACAGGUGG